This 288-nucleotide small RNA is filed under the name fish gut metagenome. Its description in RNAcentral is "5' ureB small RNA". The record is from RNAcentral.
CUGCUGAGGAGAUAUCAUAUGAACAUGUCCGUCUAUACCCGCAGCGGUAAGAAUUAGAUGUUCUCCUGAUAUUGCAUCAGUUGAAGCUCCAGUAACAAGUUCUGGUGAAACAUUUGGCAUUAUAUUGGGAUUACCUGAUUUGCCUAUGCCGGCUAUUUUCCCGUCUUUAAUACCGACAUCUGCUUUUACAACACCAAGUAUCGGGUCUAUUAUUGUCACAUUUGUGAUUACAGUAUCAAGUGAUCCGUCGCCGGAAGUCGCCAUAUUGUCUAGUCCCAUACCAUCUCU